Molecule: long non-coding RNA, 423 nt
Organism: Vanessa tameamea
Lineage: Eukaryota; Metazoa; Arthropoda; Insecta; Lepidoptera; Nymphalidae
Exons: 3
Source: RefSeq, a predicted model, not a curated record
UAUGUUUUUACAAUCACGACAUUCCUAUUCAACCGAUAAUGUGGUUUCAUUUCAAAACGACAAAGACAUAUUAUAUUCUAUUCAUUACAGUUAUUUUUGUUAGUAAUAUUUUUAAAACACAUCAGUUUAAAAAUGUUAAUCCGAUGCAGUCAAUGGAAUCAUUUUUAGAAGAUUUAAAUGUGCGGAAUAAAGGUUACCAAAAAAUUAAUAAAAGUGUCUCAGAGCAACACGAUGUAUACAAAAAAAAUCAGAACAUUCCAUCAAAUGUUGUACUAAUGAUGAAACUCAUAUCUUAUUACGAGGAUAAAUUUAAAGUUGCCAAUCACGAACCAACCGAGAGAGACACAACUUCCUUCUCUGUACGAAUAGAGAAGGAAAAUAAUAACGGAAACAGAGUAAUACAAAGAGUCGGGUUUAAACCCA